This is a long non-coding RNA of Gasterosteus aculeatus aculeatus (three-spined stickleback), 2145 nucleotides long. NCBI's taxonomy places the organism in Eukaryota, Metazoa, Chordata, Actinopteri, Perciformes, Gasterosteidae. The record is from Ensembl.
UCCACCACCAACACCACACAUAGGUGGAUUGGCGCGGGGCGAAAAUAGGGUGUUGGAGGCUUUGUUGUCAAAAGCGUCUUUAAGGCCAUUCUGAAAUAUUAAAAUAAACACAAAGCAUUAAGAAAAAGCUAUGUAGUAGAGAGGAACAAACUUACUUCUCUGUCAGCUUUCACAGGACUGAGGCAAAUCACCGAGACGGACUUUUGCCCGCGAAUUUUUUAUAUGGAUUUUUGACAGUGAUUUUGACAGUGAUGAGUUCAAAAGCGCUCCGAUGAUGUCGGAUAUAAUGGCUGCUGACGUAAGUGUUUGCCUGAUACACCGCGUAGGAGCUUAAUGUUGCUAUUUCCAAAACUAGAUUUAGCAAGGUAAUAGUGUCACGAAUUAGUCUCGUAUUAUGUACUAAAAAAGCAUUAGUGAAUUCAUAUUAUGCCUUAGGAAAACAUUACUUAAUCAACUUUUCACAUUUGAAGAAUUAACCACAUGUAUUGACCAUAUCUUGUUGUCAAUUUAUCAGCUUAUACUAUAGUAUCUCGCUGAUGAUACGAAUGCUCUUAAAGGACAACUAUAGAUUUCAUAAAAUGCAUUAUGACAGCUGAGGAAUUAAGCUUUGAGGUUUGUUUGGUACAGUUUCUAUCGAACCCGGAAUUUUGAGAGCGUAAUGCCCAAAUGUUCCUGAAUGCAUCAAUCAAAUCUAACGUCACAUCAACGCAUCUCCGUCAAAUUCCUCUGAAGUCUUGACCGACCAUAACGGCUGGUGACUCUAAAGUGCAAGUUCACACAUCAAUUCAGAUAUUGCUCCUGCCAGUGUUGGUGACUCCUUGGAUAUUUGACAGUGUCCUGCUGUCCAGCAUCUCUCCCCCCUAUCCCUAUCUUUGUAUCCCUCUUCUAUCCCACUCUAUCUGUAUACGGAAGCCUGAAAACCCUGAUAUUCUGAAACCUGAACCCUGAACCCUGAAACCUGAACCUAAGGUUAUUGCAACCUGUCUGAACAGAACUCUGAGAGUAUCUCCACUCUUCCGCUCUCUGUCUCUCCUCUGAACACUCACUCACCCGGGUUAUUGGUACCUGAUCUACCUUUUUGAAUGAUCUGAGAGAUUCUCUUCUCUCACUCUCACCUCUCUCCUAUCAACUCCUAUAUUUAUACAAUACUAUUACUAUUACUGUUACUAAUUUGACAAAACAUUUGAAAUUUACUAUUAAUGAGAUUAACAAAAUUGGCCUGAACAAAGAAUUGAAAAGUUAAUUCAGAAGCUGAAAAAAAGUACAAAUCUUUUGUUAUAAUUGAAAAAACUACACCUUGAUCCAAAGAAUUGGAUUGUAAAAAAAAGUACUGUUUAUAAUUGAAUCAGGUAGAUUUCCUGAUACACUAUUUGCAAAAGUGCAUUGAAUUAACAUAAUUAAAGACAACUGCACUCUGAUACAUAAUAAAAUACAUAACUAUUACAAAUCCAUAUUAGAGAAGUGUAUUUGCUCCUGAUCGCUGUUGCUGUGGACCUCUGUUGGUUUGUACUCAAAGGUUUGUUUUGUGAGCAAACACUGUUGUUAACUUGAUUAGUCUACGUACAAGGAAAAAUAAUCCCGCUACAUGCAUUGAAUCAAUUAUACCUAAUUAAUGAAUACAUAAUUUUUUCUUAUAAACUUACAUUGUGCAUAUCAGUGUUUUGUUGUUUAUACUGAAAUAAAACACAGACGUCAACCAGGAAGAAGUGGAUUCAUCAGGAGUGGCUGUUUCCUGCUGAUCCAACGUUCUUCAGAAGUAUCCAUCUGUCAUCACACUCCCACAACAACUGCUCCUGAAUAUAAACAAUAGCCUAAUAAAGUAUUAAGAUCAUUUCUACCAGUAAAUUUAGCCAUUUGAAAUCUGAAGGGCCCUUUGAGUCAACUGGUUCCAAGUUGUGUGUUUGUGGUAGACUUCAGUUUUUACAUUGAUUAUAUAUUUCCACAGACAAGUCAAGGUCUCAGUAAGCAAUAUCUCUUACAUAUUAAAUACCAUCGGUCACUUUAGUACAUGGUACUUACGCAGACAGACAUACUAAGACCUGAUUGCAGUAUUAAAAUCUAGAAGUGCUUUGUCUAGACCCUCAUAUAUUAGAAUACGUCAGGUGGAUAAUUUCGUUGUGUUUUUUAUUAAAACUAUAAAAUAAU